CCUCGAGUUAUCUAAUCUAGUUAACUCGGAAUUAACUAGUUUAUCAUGAUGUGUAAAUGUUUUUUUUUACGUUAAACAACUUUAAUGACCAGCGGUGAAGCUGGACACCAAUCUAGUUAAUACUACAAGUUUAUAUACCAGUCCCAAUAAUUCAUAGCAAAACACACCACUAAACCUUUUUUUUUUUUUUUAAUUAUAAAUACCGAGGAUUAUACUCUAAAAGUUACAAAAUCUUGUGUAGCCACAAUAUAGAUCUGGCUAAUUCUCAUUUUGGUUGAGAGCCUUUCGACAAGUUCUUGGUUGCAAAUCGGUACUAAAUUUUUUGUUACAUUUUAUUUUUUUGAUGAAAUGGUUUAGUUGAAUUCAUCUCAUGCUGGAAGUUGCUAUCAUGGCUGGACUUAGGUUUUCAAUGCUAAGAAAGUCUUUCUGUAAUUCCAUCAACCCCACUUCACAACGUCAAUCACUUCGAUUUUAUAAUGUUAAUGGAAGUAGUCUAAGAUCAGCAUCCGCUAUCAUAAAUCGAGAUUAUUACAAAGAUGAAUCAAAAUUGGCUGGAAAUCUGUCAAAUAUUAUAGCUAUGAGAUCUGAUGCUGGUGUCAAUAACCAAUGUUAUAAGAAUAAACCCAUGAGAGGAUUUAUGUCAACUUCAUCAAAUGUGUUGCUUCGAAGUGCUGUUCCUUUCAUUUCAAUGAGCCCCGGGAUGAGCUGUAGAUCAUUCUCUUGGUCUUCUGGUGGCAAAGUUGAUAAAUCUGGGGCUAGUGAAUUUUCAGCUUCUUCCAGUGGAAGUGAUGUGGACGUUAGUAACAGUGGUGGUAUUGGAAGUGACUGGAUUGAUAAGGUUAAAGAAGCUUGGCAAAGUGCAGUGCAUGCAGUAACUUAUUCUGAGCAAAAGGCUAAAGAGAUCUCCGCUGAACUGACCCCUUAUGUUCAGCAGUUGCUUGAUUCGCAUCCAUAUCUUAAAAAUGUGGUUGUUCCAGUUGGUUGGACUUUGACUGGUACUGUUGUGGCUUGGGUGGUGAUGCCUAGACUUUUGAGGCGAUUUCACAAGUAUUCAUUGCAAACUCCUGUUGCUUUGCUAUCUGGAGGCACAUCUGGUGAACAAAUUUCAUAUGAGAAGAGCAUUUGGGGUGCUUUGGAAGAUCCUUUAAGAUAUGUAAUCACCUUUAUGGCAUUUUCACAAAUUGCUGUGAUGGUGGCACCUACUACAAUUGCUUCUCAGUAUAUAGCACAAGCAUGGAGGGGUGCUGUUAUUCUUUCUUUUGUAUGGUUUCUGCACCGGUGGAAGACAAAUGUGUUUAAUCGUGUGAUAACAUCGGCAACAGUUGAUCGGGAAAAGCUGUUAACUCUUGAUAGAUUUUCUUCUGUUGGUCUUUUUGUUAUUGGGCUGAUGGCUUUAGCUGAGGCUUGUGGGGUUGCAGUGCAGUCUAUACUGACUGUGGGUGGCAUUGGAGGAGUUGCUACUGCUUUUGCUGCCAAAGACAUCCUUGGGAAUGUGCUCAGUGGGUUGUCUAUGCAAUUUUCAAAGCCCUUUUCACUUGGAGAUACAAUAAAGGCUGGAGCUGUAGAAGGUCAAGUGGUCGAAAUGGAACUUACCACCACUUCAUUAUUGAAUGCUGAGAAAUUCCCUGUCUUAGUUCCAAAUUCAUUGUUUUCUAGUCAGGUAAUUGUGAACAAGUCUCGUGCCCAAUGGCGUGCAAUGGUCUCCAAAAUUCCUGUGACAGUUGAUGAUGUGGAGAAGAUACCCCAGAUAUCAAAUGACAUCAAGAACAUGCUAAAAUCUAACGCAAACAUUUUCUUGGGAAAGGAGGCUCCUUACUGUUACUUGUCUAGAAUAGAAAGUUCAUUUGCAGAAUUGACUCUUGGGUGCAAUCUCAAACAAAUGAGCAAAAAUGAAUUAUACUGCACGGAGCAAGACAUUCUUCUGCAGUCAGUCAGGAUAAUAAAGGAGCAUGGUGCUAGAUUAGGCAUCACUACCAGUCAGUCAUACAGUGACAAUGCUGGUAAACAAGAUUCCGCAUGGUGAAGCUUGGACCCUUCUCUACAUGCACUCAACUUGAACAUCACACUAUGCAGAAACCUGUAUCAUGAUGUUGUGUUCGAGUUGUUUUGGUGCAUCUGAAAAGAAAAAAAAAAAAAAAACUGUUGUGGUGCAACGGCUGACAAGAUACAAACUCUAGUCGACUGAAGAACAGGUUUUCAACUUUCUUGACCAACAGUUGUUGAAAGUUUUGAAUCCAUUUGUUCAGUUGAAAAGCGAUAGACUAUCACAGCAGUCUUAAAGAGCGUCGACUUCAAAUACAGCCUUCUUGAACCGAAAUAACGCAUGCAGAUGGUGUAGCAUGCUUACUGAAUACAGCAUAGUGCUUAACAAAGACAUUGAUUGUGCAUUUCUAU
Populus euphratica (Euphrates poplar) is the source of this 2394-nucleotide RNA transcript. It is a transcript of the gene named mechanosensitive ion channel protein 1, mitochondrial-like, with no coding region annotated. The record is from RefSeq and is a predicted model, not a curated record. Lineage: Eukaryota; Viridiplantae; Streptophyta; Magnoliopsida; Malpighiales; Salicaceae. The transcript has 9 exons.